GACGAACGCUGGCGGCGUGCUUAACACAUGCAAGUCGAACGGAAAGGCCCUGCUUUUGUGGGGUGCUCGAGUGGCGAACGGGUGAGUAACACGUGAGUAACCUGCCCUUGACUUUGGGAUAACUUCAGGAAACUGGGGCUAAUACCGGAUAGGAGCUCCUGCUGCAUGGGGGUGGUUGGAAAGUUUCGGCGGUUGGGGAUGGACUCGCGGCUUAUCCGCUUGUUGGUGGGGUAGUGGCGUACCAAGGCAUUGACGGGUAGCCGCCCUGGGAGGGUGACCGGCCACAUUGGGCCUGAGAUACGGCCCAGACUCCUACGGGAGGCAGCAGUGGGGAAUAUUGCACAAUGGGCGGAAGCCUGAUGCAGCAACGCCGCGUGCGGGAUGACGGCCUUCGGGUUGUAAACCGCUUUCGCCUGUGACGAAGCGUGAGUGACGGUAAUGGGUAAAGAAGCACCGGCUAACUACGUG
RNAcentral lists this ribosomal RNA (468 nucleotides) under uncultured bacterium. RNAcentral's name for it is "partial 16S ribosomal RNA". It matches the Rfam family "Bacterial small subunit ribosomal RNA", at positions 28 to 507 of the family's 1533-position model. The record is from RNAcentral.